UGUGGACAACAAAAUCCACCUGUAAUAAAAUCCAGUGGAAGAUUUCUAUGGAUUAAAUUUUUUGCUGAUGGAGAGCUGGAAUCUAUGGGAUUUUCGGCUCGAUACAAUUUCACCCCUGAUCCUGACUUUAAGGACCUUGGAGUUUUGAAACCAUUACCAGUGUGUGAGUUUGAGAUGGGCGGUCCUGAAGGAAUUGUGGAGUCCGUACAGAUAAUGAAGGAAGGCAAAGCUUCUGCUAGCGAGGCCGUGGAUUGCAAGUGGUACAUCCGGGCACCUCCACGAUCCAAGAUCUACCUUCGCUUCUUGGACUAUGAGAUGCAGAAUUCAAAUGAAUGCAAAAGGAACUUUGUGGCGGUGUAUGACGGCAGCAGUUCCGUGGGGGACCUAAAGGCGAAGUUCUGCAGCACCGUGGCCAAUGACGUCAUGCUCCGCACAGGUCUCGGGGUGAUCCGCAUGUGGGCCGAUGAGGGCAGUCGAAACAGCAGAUUUCAGAUGCUCUUCACAUCCUUCCAAGAACCUCCCUGUGAAGGCAAUACAUUCUUCUGUCAUAGUAACAUGUGUAUUAACAAUACACUGGUCUGCAAUGGCCUCCAGAACUGUGUGUAUCCUUGGGACGAAAAUCAUUGUAAAGAGAAGAGAAAAACCAGCCUGCUGGACCAGCUCACCAACACCAGUGGGACUGUCAUUGGCGUGACUUCCUGCAUUGUGAUCAUCCUUAUUAUCAUUUCUGUCAUUGUGCAGAUCAAACAGCCUCGUAAAAAAUAUGUCCAAAGGAAAGCGGACUUUGACCAGACAGUUUUCCAGGAGGUGUUUGAGCCUCCCCAUUAUGAGUUAUGCACUCUGAGAGGGACAGGAGCUACCGCUGACUUUGCAGAUGUGGCAGACGACUUUGAGAACUACCACAAACUGCGGAGAUCCUCUUCCAAAUGCGUCCAUGACCACCACUGUGGGUCCCAAGUGUCCAGUACAAAGGGCAGCCGCAGUAACCUCAGCACAAGAGAUGCCUCUGUCUUGACAGAGAUGCCCCCCCAGCCCAUCAAACCCCUCAUCCCACCCACGAACAGAAGAAACAUCCUAGUCAUGAAACACACCUACUCACAGGAUGCCGCGGAUGCCUGUGACAUCGACGAGAUCGAGGAGGUGCCCACGACGAGCCACAGGCUGUCCCGACACGACAAAGCUGUGCAGCGGUUCUGCCUCAUUGGGUCUCUAAGCAAACACGAAUCUGAAUACAACACAACUAGGGUCUAAAAGAAAAUUCAAGCGAAACUCUUCAAAACACUUCCAGCCAAUCAACUGUUCUUGAAUUAGAGAAGAACUAUUUAUACAAACAUGGGGACUGUGAAAAGAAAAUUCUAUAGUGAAUUGUGAAAAGUGGACAUAUUUCUAAAUUCAUUCCACUGCCUUUAUCCAAACUUAAGAAUUACAGACAUUUGUUUAUUCCUCCGGCAAGACAUCCCUGCUGCACAAUGAUACGUUCAUUUCGUAAUUUGGUUGCUGGCCACCAAGUGCUCCUUAGUUUCUAAAUACAUUCUGAGAUUUACUGGAAACUUGAAGAAGAAAUUAGUUCCUGAUUAAGACUAUCCCAAUUUUUAUUUUUACUGUUAGUUUCACUCUGUUUCCAUGUUGUUGUAUGUCCUUGUUAUAUGAUUGUACGUUGUGUGGUAUGUGAAAAAUAUGAUUUUGGAUGACCUUUGUGUUCCAUGUGCAUUGUUUUCAUUACAUAGACUGCUUGAGAAUAGUGCGCUCCUGAGGGAUUUUGAACGUGCUACUGUUAAGAAGUGAAAGUAUGGACCAUGGGAGCACCAGCUAGAGGUUUUGUGGACUAUCACCGUCGGUUACUGUAUUUUGAUUAAAUGCAGCCGAAAGUCUUGAGUAAAAAUAACUAGAUUGCAAUAAGAAACACCUCAUUUUUUUUCUUGGUCUUUCCCAAAUUCCCCCCAAUUUCCUUUUUGUUUUGUAUCAAAGGAAGAUGCUAAGUUUCAGAAAUCAUUUUUGAAAUCAGGUAUUUCACUAUUCAUACCCUUGCAAUAGAAAUGUUUUUGGAUGAAGCACUUAGCAAUAUGACUGAAUCGACAGUGUGAGAAACUACCCUGCAUGUCACUACUGGAUAUUUGAGUUGGGAAAAUACCCUUUUUAUUAGACACAUUGUAAAAAGCAUGCAUCCUCCAAUACUGCUGUUAUACUUCCAUUUCUUUGUGUCAUAUGCUUGCUACUUGUAACUUUUGAUAUAAAGAUAUAUAAAAAAUGUAUAAUAAUUUCCUAACUUGAGUUAAGAAGAAUGUUUUCUUCUAUUAGAGUGAUGAAAAAGAACCCAAACACCUGACUUACAUGAGUGCACACUUUAUAUCAACUCUUUCUACCUGUUAGGCUAUAGGAUGUCUUUUAGUAUUGAGGCUUACUUCUCUAAAAUUUGAUCUCGAAAAUUUUAUGGAAUAUGUUCUCCUUUUAGAAUAGGAAAAUCUUUUUAAGUGCUUUAAAACCACAGGUCCUCCCAUGCCCCACAUUACACCAUUCUGAGUUGCUCUCAUACUGAGGCACAUAAAUACUACCUGAGGCUUACUAAUCAUGUGUUUAAUAUAAAUAAAGUAAAACCAGAUGAUA
Suricata suricatta (meerkat) is the source of this 2604-nucleotide RNA transcript. It is a transcript of the gene named neuropilin and tolloid like 1, with no coding region annotated. The transcript has 9 exons. The annotation marks the transcript as partial. Lineage: Eukaryota; Metazoa; Chordata; Mammalia; Carnivora; Herpestidae. The record is from RefSeq and is a predicted model, not a curated record.